AGGUGCAAAGGGGAAAG
RNAcentral lists this unclassified non-coding RNA (17 nucleotides) under Mus musculus (house mouse). RNAcentral's name for it is "oocyte_clustered_small_RNA7003". The record is from RNAcentral. Lineage: Eukaryota; Metazoa; Chordata; Mammalia; Rodentia; Muridae.